RNAcentral lists this ribosomal RNA (694 nucleotides) under uncultured bacterium. RNAcentral's name for it is "bacterial SSU rRNA". It matches the Rfam family "Bacterial small subunit ribosomal RNA", at positions 32 to 715 of the family's 1533-position model. The record is from RNAcentral.
AACGCUAGCUACAGGCUUAACACAUGCAAGUCGAGGGGCAGCAUGGUCUUAGCUUGCUAAGGCCGAUGGCGACCGGCGCACGGGUGAGUAACACGUAUCCAACCUGCCGUCUACUCUUGGACAGCCUUCUGAAAGGAAGAUUAAUACAAGAUGGCAUCAUGAGCCCGCAUGUUCACAUGAUUAAAGGUAUUCCGGUAGACGAUGGGGAUGCGUUCCAUUAGAUAGUAGGCGGGGUAACGGCCCACCUAGUCUUCGAUGGAUAGGGGUUCUGAGAGGAAGGUCCCCCACAUUGGAACUGAGACACGGUCCAAACUCCUACGGGAGGCAGCAGUGAGGAAUAUUGGUCAAUGGGCGAGAGCCUGAACCAGCCAAGUAGCGUGAAGGAUGACUGCCCUAUGGGUUGUAAACUUCUUUUAUAAAGGAAUAAAGUCGGGUAUGGAUACCCGUUUGCAUGUACUUUAUGAAUAAGGAUCGGCUAACUCCGUGCCAGCAGCCGCGGUAAUACGGAGGAUCCGAGCGUUAUCCGGAUUUAUUGGGUUUAAAGGGAGCGUAGAUGGAUGUUUAAGUCAGUUGUGAAAGUUUGCGGCUCAACCGUAAAAUUGCAGUUGAUACUGGAUAUCUUGAGUGCAGUUGAGGCAGGCGGAAUUCGUGGUGUAGCGGUGAAAUGCUUAGAUAUCACGAAGAACUCCGAUUG